Long non-coding RNA from Vespula vulgaris, 822 nucleotides. RefSeq lists it as uncharacterized. The record is from RefSeq and is a predicted model, not a curated record. The transcript is spliced from 6 exons. NCBI's taxonomy places the organism in Eukaryota, Metazoa, Arthropoda, Insecta, Hymenoptera, Vespidae.
UUGUAACAGAUUACUAGCUAUCCGCAGGAGUUGAAACACUCGUUCAUUUCGUAUCGAGUCGCCUGUCGAGCAAGUUUCUAUGGGGUCUAGAAGAGGAAACACCUAGAAUAAUAUAUAAGUUACUGAUCUGUCACGAUAAUGGAAAUCAUCUUCUUAAACAAGAUCCACUCGUUAGGCACUCAUGCAAGGCAGCAGCGAGAGAAAUUUCAUAUUCAUUCGUCACAGUACAAGGGAAAGCUGACACGUAAACGGAUAAAAAGCCUCGAAUGAUAUAUAUUUUGAUAUUUUUCCGUAUUUACCAUAUGUACUUCCGUAGUUACCAUUUCGUACGUUAAUCAGCAGCAACACGGCAUUUCGUCUCGCAAAUAUGAUGUUCAGAUACAUAUACUUUAUCAACACGUAGACAAAUAUGCGAAUAAACAAAUUCCGUCUGCCGUGUGAGAAGAAUUAUGAAAGAAUAAUGAAAAGAUGAGGGAAACAUGAAGAAAAAUUUUUAUCGUUAAGCUGAUUAAAGAAUUGUAACGAAGAUCUAGCGAAAAUAGUUAUAGGCCCUUCUAUUAGUCUUACAGAACUAUAUAAAAGCAAUUGGCACAAUAAUGAAUUCAGAGAUCAAAAAAAUUCAAAAAUCUUUUAUCUUGUCGAGUGUAUAUUGUUUAAAACGAUAUAGAUGAUAUAGAAUUCAUUAUCAUAACUGAUUGGUUGUUGAUUUAUUCUUCUGGGCCAUUCUCUUCUCGAUCUCUCAGAAGUUGGCUCAAAUAACGACUGAAUAAACAAACUGUAUUCCCUUUAAAAGUAUACAAUAAAUUCUAGUAUGAAAUCACA